Molecule: non-coding RNA, 94 nt
Submitted as: unclassified sequences
Source: Rfam
UAACGGUUCGUAACACUCCCCAAACCAAGACCUAUAGGGUGUAUAAAAACGUCUUUAAUACCUCUGCCUAGGGCGCAGAGGAAUAGUAAAACCA